GGGCCCUGAAGCUGCUCUCCCGGUUCAUGGCUGCGGACUGAUGACGCGGCUCGCCUUCCACCGGGUCACGUGACGGAGCGAACCAAUCAGAGGGCGAGGAGAGGCGGACUGUCGGCAGAUUGGGCUGUCAAUAAAGAUUGUUGAAAUGGAAAUGAAAGAACAAUUACCAGCGGCUGUGAUGUGGCAGGGGGCGGGGUUCAGCCCGCCACGUGUUACAGGAAAUGGGUGGGGCUUCCAGGGGCAGCAGCUGGGCGGGGCUGAACUUGUCAAUAAAUAAUAAAUCAGAUUAUAAAUACAUAAUACCUCACUGAAAAUAAUAAUAAUAAUAAUCAAUUAAUAUAAAU
Pelobates cultripes (western spadefoot toad) is the source of this 344-nucleotide non-coding RNA. Lineage: Eukaryota; Metazoa; Chordata; Amphibia; Anura; Pelobatidae. The record is from the annotation of a GenBank genome assembly.